AGCAGCCGCGGUAAUACGAAGGGUGCAAGCGUUACUCGGAAUUACUGGGCGUAAAGCGCACGUAGGCCGACUGUUAAGUCGGGGGUGAAAGCCUGGAGCUCAACUCCAGAACUGCCUCCGAUACUGGUAGUCUUGAGUCCGAGAGAGGUGAGUGGAAUUCCCAGUGUAGAGGUGAAAUUCGUAGAUAUUGGGAAGAACACCAGUGGCGAAGGCGGCUCACUGGCUCGGUACUGACGCUGAGGUGCGAAAGCGUGGGGAGCAA
RNAcentral lists this ribosomal RNA (262 nucleotides) under uncultured bacterium. Its description in RNAcentral is "partial 16S ribosomal RNA". It matches the Rfam family "Bacterial small subunit ribosomal RNA", at positions 510 to 771 of the family's 1533-position model. The record is from RNAcentral.